UGCUGGGCGGAUUAGUGGCGAACGGGUGAGUAAUACGUGAGUAACCUGCCCUUGACUCUGGGAUAAGCCUGGGAAACUGGGUCUAAUACUGGAUACUACCUCUUACCGCAUGGUGGGUGGUGGAAAGGGUUUUACUGGUUUUGGAUGGGCUCACGGCCUAUCAGCUUGUUGGUGGGGUAAUGGCUCACCAAGGCGACGACGGGUAGCCGGCCUGAGAGGGUGACCGGCCACACUGGGACUGAGACACGGCCCAGACUCCUACGGGAGGCAGCAGUGGGGAAUAUUGCACAAUGGGCGGAAGCCUGAUGCAGCGACGCCGCGUGAGGGAUGACGGCCUUCGGGUUGUAAACCUCUUUCAGUAGGGAAGAAGCGAGAGUGACGGUACCUGCAGAAGAAGCGCCGGCUAACUACGUGCCAGCAGCCGCGGUAAUACGUAGGGCGCAAGCGUUGUCCGGAAUUAUUGGGCGUAAAGAGCUCGUAGGCGGUUUGUCGCGUCUGCUGUGAAAGCCCGGGGCUCAACCCCGGGUCUGCAGUGGGUACGGGCAGACUAGAGUGCAGUAGGGGAGACUGGAAUUCCUGGUGUAGCGGUGAAAUGCGCAGAUAUCAGGAGGAACACCGAUGGCGAAGGCAGGUCUCUGGGCUGUUACUGACGCUGAGGAGCGAAAGCAUGGGGAGCGAACAGGAUUAGAUACCCUGGUAGUCCAUGCCGUAAACGUUGGGCACUAGGUGUGGGGGACAUUCCACGUUUUCCGCGCCGUAGCUAACGCAUUAAGUGCCCCGCCUGGGGAGUACGGCCGCAAGGCUAAAACUCAAAGGAAUUGACGGGGGCCCGCACAAGCGGCGGAGCAUGCGGAUUAAUUCGAUGCAACGCGAAGAACCUUACCAAGGCUUGACAUUCACCGGACCGCCCCAGAGAUGGGGUUUCCCUUCGGGGCUGGUGGACAGGUGGUGCAUGGUUGUCGUCAGCUCGUGUCGUGAGAUGUUGGGUUAAGUCCCGCAACGAGCGCAACCCUCGUUCUAUGUUGCCAGCACGUGAUGGUGGGGACUCAUAGGAGACUGCCGGGGUCAACUCGGAGGAAGGUGGGGAUGACGUCAAAUCAUCAUGCCCCUUAUGUCUUGGGCUUCACGCAUGCUACAAUGGCCGGUACAAAGGGUUGCGAUACUGUGAGGUGGAGCUAAUCCCAAAAAGCCGGUCUCAGUUCGGAUUGAGGUCUGCAACUCGACCUCAUGAAGUCGGAGUCGCUAGUAAUCGCAGAUCAGCAACGCUGCGGUGAAUACGUUCCCGGGCCUUGUACACACCGCCCGUCAAGUCACGAAAGUUGGUAACACCCGAAGCCGGUGGCCUAACCCCUU
This 1353-nucleotide ribosomal RNA is filed under the name Kocuria sp. RNAcentral describes it as "bacterial SSU rRNA". It matches the Rfam family "Bacterial small subunit ribosomal RNA", at positions 81 to 1444 of the family's 1533-position model. The record is from RNAcentral. Lineage: Bacteria; Bacillati; Actinomycetota; Actinomycetes; Micrococcales; Micrococcaceae.